RNAcentral lists this transfer RNA (66 nucleotides) under Dialeurodes sp. PB-2004. RNAcentral describes it as "tRNA-Leu". The record is from RNAcentral. Lineage: Eukaryota; Metazoa; Arthropoda; Insecta; Hemiptera; Aleyrodidae.
ACUAGAUUAUCAUAUUCAAUGUAUUAAAUUUAGAGUUUAAAAAAGCAAAAACUUUUGCACCUAAUA